Dermochelys coriacea (leatherback sea turtle) is the source of this 1606-nucleotide long non-coding RNA. RefSeq lists it as uncharacterized. The record is from RefSeq and is a predicted model, not a curated record. The transcript is spliced from 2 exons. NCBI's taxonomy places the organism in Eukaryota, Metazoa, Chordata, Testudines, Dermochelyidae.
AAUAGGGUGUGGGAUUUGAUUCCUGGAGCCCUUCCCAAACGGAAGACUGAGACUAGAAUAUCACACCACUAGUAAUGGGGACCUGGCCUGGGCUCGUCCUAUUAAGAUUCUGCUGCUGCUAUCAGAAUGCUGGGCUCAGACUGACGUUAUUUUUCAGUUGAUAGCACUGUUUUCCCCUGGUGAUCCUGCAGAUUAUAGAGAAGACCUGAUGACCCAUGUUUUCCCGUCCUGCAGUUAUGAAGAUCUGACUCUUUUAUAUGGAGCACUCAGCAGCUCCCCUGAAGAUAUUUCUGUUAAUGGGAGACUGCUGGAUUCAAACAUCUGUAAGAAAACACCACAAAUUUGGAAAUGAAUAUAAAUACAAUAGACAGCAAUCUGGAGACACAAGAUGCCUAAAACCAUCAAGAAAAGUAAAUCAAAAUAAUUAAAAUUGCUACUCUAUGAAGUUUUCUCAGAGGGAGUUAGUUGCUGAGUUGGGCAUUAACCUUUGAGAAAUGUAUGGCUAUAGUUACCUACAUAUAAUUUAUUUUAGCACAAGAUGUCCAGUGAAACUAACAUUUUUCUGAUUAAAUUUUAGUUUCCUUAUGCAUUUUGUACAUCCAAACACUAUAUAUUUAACUAAUAAAGCUGUUCUGUGUUCCUGAUCUAGUGUUAAAUCUUGGGGGGGAGGGGGGAAACAGGGUUUACAAAUGCUUUAAAUACAAAAUAAUUUUCCCAAUAAAAUAUUCCCCUAAAUUUAUCUUCAGAGGCAUAGGAGAUUUGAACACGUACAGUUUAGCUGUAAGAGAGUGUCUUUAACUGACAACUCAGACUGAAAGCUAGCCUAUCUUUUUUUUUUCUUUGCUUUGUCACUUACAUAAGAUCAUAAAGCUAUUUUAUUUGUAGUAAAAAUACCACUGUAUAACAACUUUAGCCCCAUGGACUCACAGAAUAACACUGUAUAAAUUGUACCAACAUCUAUGGGCUGACUGUGGGCUGGAUCCUUGAACUGUUGUGCCCUCAACUGUUGUUGACUUCUCCCUCAUGACAGUUGUUAUGCACAAGUGAAUGGACUUCAGUAGGAGUCGGAGCAUGCAAAAACUGCAGACCCUGAUUUCAUACAAGUAUCUAGAUUCCAGCUAUAGAAUUACAACCUAGAAAAACACUCUGAUAAGGUGUAAGAGCUUCAAAAAUUGGACCUGGGUUUAACUUCAACAGGACGACAGGUAUACUAUCUGAACCGAUCUUUACAAUACAUAGCACGGGGAGUGGCUGGCUGAUAACUGUACUACAAUAGCUGUACUCCCAGUAAGUGAACAGUAAAAAUGAUUACCCAGUAGUGGGUGAUAUUUUGGUCAUGAAACAUUUAGUUUUAAACACACGAGAGUUUCCUGUUUAAGAUAUAAAACACGAAUUCACAUUUUUUUUAAACUAACUGGUAAAAAUAUAUAAAGCGAUUUUGAAAUAAGGCUAUCACAAUAUGAUGAGCUAAUUGUUGCUACAUUUUCUUUAAAUUUUAACAAGAUUGAGAUGCAUGUAACUUCUUUAAAAAUAACUACACGGAAGGUAAGACUAAUGCAAUUUUUGUAAAAUAAUGGAAAUUAAAACUUAGUGCUAUGUAACUGCU